CAGCAACUAAACAGGUAAAUAGGAGAACUUGGCAAUGGAUUGGGCACACUUUGAGGAAACCUGUAGGUACCAUCACUAGACAGGCAUUAGAAUGGAACACCCAAGGACAUCGGAGACCGGGAUGCCAUUUCACAGCUGGAGAAGAUCAAGGCACAAGGAGCUGGAGGAAAUUGGAUAUAUCUGGAGCGAAGCAAAAAGGAUAGCCC
RNAcentral lists this long non-coding RNA (206 nucleotides) under Mytilus galloprovincialis (Mediterranean mussel). Lineage: Eukaryota; Metazoa; Mollusca; Bivalvia; Mytilida; Mytilidae. The record is from RNAcentral.